CUGGUUGAUCCUGCCAGACCCGACUGCUAUCGGAUUGGGACUAAGCCAUGCGAGUCAACUCCGCAAGGGGUGGCGCACGGCUCAGUAACACGUAGUCAACCUACCCUGGGGACGGGGAUAACCUCGGGAAACUGAGGCUAAACCCCGAUGGGCCAUGGCUCCUGGAAUGGGCUAUGGCUGAAAUCUACAUGGCCCCAGGAUGGGACUGCGGCCGAUCAGGUUGUUGGUGGGGUAAUGGCCCACCAAGCCUAUAACCGGUGCGGGCUCUGAGAGGAGGAGCCCGGAGAUGGGCACUGAGACAAGGGCCCAGGUCCUAUGGGGCGCAGCAGGCGCGAAACCUCCGCAAUGGGCGAAAGCCCGACGGGGUCAGUCCGAGUGGUUCCCGCUGAGGGAACCUUUUGCCAGCUGUAAACAGGCUGGCGAAUAAGGGGUGGGCAAGUUUGGUGUCAGCCGCCGCGGUAAUACCAGCACCCCGAGUGGUCGGGACGAUUAUUGGGCCUAAAGCAUCCGUAGCCGGCCCAGUAAGUCCUCCGUUAAAUCCAACGGCUCAACCGUUGGGCUGCGGGGGAUACUGCUGGGCUAGGGGACGGGAGAGGCGAGGGGUAUUCCCGGGGUAGGGGUAAAAUCCACUGAUCCCGGGAGGACCACCAGUGGCGAAGGCGCCUCGCUAGAACGUGCCCGACGGUGAGGGAUGAAAGCUGGGGGAGCGAACCGGAUUAGAUACCCGGGUAGUCCCAGCCGUAAACGAUGUAGGCUCGGUGUUGGGCUGCCUCAGUGGCAGCCCAGUGCCGCAGGGAAGCCGUUAAGCCUACCGCCUGGGGAGUACGGCCGCAAGGCUGAAACUUAAAGGAAUUGGCGGGGGAGCACCAC
This 870-nucleotide ribosomal RNA is filed under the name uncultured archaeon. RNAcentral describes it as "bacterial SSU rRNA". It matches the Rfam family "Archaeal small subunit ribosomal RNA", at positions 4 to 882 of the family's 1478-position model. The record is from RNAcentral.